This 465-nucleotide ribosomal RNA is filed under the name Vreelandella stevensii. RNAcentral's name for it is "partial 16S ribosomal RNA". It matches the Rfam family "Bacterial small subunit ribosomal RNA", at positions 338 to 795 of the family's 1533-position model. Lineage: Bacteria; Pseudomonadati; Pseudomonadota; Gammaproteobacteria; Oceanospirillales; Halomonadaceae. The record is from RNAcentral.
CCUACGGGUGGCAGCAGUGGGGAAUAUUGGACAAUGGGCGAAAGCCUGAUCCAGCCAUGCCGCGUGUGUGAAGAAGGCCUUCGGGUUGUAAAGCACUUUCAGUGGGGAAGAAAGCCUUGGGGCUAAUACCCUCGAGGAAGGACAUCACCCACAGAAGAAGCACCGGCUAACUCCGUGCCAGCAGCCGCGGUAAUACGGAGGGUGCGAGCGUUAAUCGGAAUUACUGGGCGUAAAGCGCGCGUAGGCGGUCUGAUAAGCCGGUUGUGAAAGCCCCGGGCUCAACCUGGGAACGGCAUCCGGAACUGGCAGGCUAGAGUGCAGGGGAGGAAGGUAGAAUUCCCGGUGUAGCGGUGAAAUGCGUAGAGAUCGGGAGGAAUACCAGUGGCGAAGGCGGCCUUCUGGACUGACACUGACGCUGAGGUGCGAAAGCGUGGGUAGCAAACAGGAUUAGAUACCCCAGUAGUC